GUUAAUAUUCAGCAGUGGUUAUGGCGUGUGACUCAAGUUUAGGCUUACCUCUUCAAGAGGUUGUAUUCUCAUGGGCUUUGCCCGCGUGGGUUCGAAUCCCACUGUUGUCA
Non-coding RNA from Lophium mytilinum, 110 nucleotides. The record is from the annotation of a GenBank genome assembly. Lineage: Eukaryota; Fungi; Ascomycota; Dothideomycetes; Mytilinidiales; Mytilinidiaceae.